Molecule: ribosomal RNA, 1137 nt
Filed under: uncultured bacterium
Lineage: Bacteria
Description: bacterial SSU rRNA
Rfam family: Bacterial small subunit ribosomal RNA
Source: RNAcentral
GCGAAUAUUGGUCAAUGCGAGGAAGCCUGAACCAGCCAAGUAGCGUGCAGGAUGAAGGCCCUAUGGGUUGUAAACUGAUUUUGAUGCGGGAGUAAAGUGACUCACGUGUCAUUCAUUGCAAGUACCCUUGGAAUAAGGGACCGGCUAAUUCCGUGCCAGCAGCCGCGGUAAUACGGAAGGUCCAGGCGUUAUCGGGAUUUAUUGGGUUUAAAGGGAGCGUAGGCCGAUGGCCAAGCGUGUUGUGAAAUACAGUGACCCAACCACUGGACUGCAGCGCGAACUGGCCGUCUUGAGUGCGCGCAACGUUGGCGGAAUUCGUCGUGUAGCGGUGAAAUGCUUAGAUAUGACGAAGAACUCCGAUUGUGAAGGCAGCUGACGGGAGCGCAACUGACGCUGAAGCUCGAAGGUGCGGGUAUCGAACAGGAUUAGAUACCCUGGUAGUCCGCACGGUAAACGAUGGAUGCCCGUUCUGCGGCCUUCGGGCCGCGGGACCAAGCGAAAGCAUUAAGCAUCCCACCUGGGGAGUACGCCGGCAACGGUGAAACUCAAAGGAAUUGACGGGGGCCCGCACAAGCGGAGGAACAUGUGGUUUAAUUGGAUGAUACGCGAGGAACCUUACCCGGGCUUGAAUUGCAGACUAAUGCGGCGGAGACGCUGCAGUCCUUCGGGAAGUCUGUGAAGGUGCUGCAUGGUUGUCGUCAGCUCGUGCCGUGAGGUGUCGGCUCAAGUGCCAUAACGAGCGCAACCCCUGUCUCAUGUUGCCAUCAGGUAAAGCUGGGCACACUGGAGAGACUGCCGCCGUAAGGUGCGAGAAAGGUGGGGAUGACGUCAAAUCAGCACGGCCCUUACGUCCGGGGCUACACACGUGUUACAAUGGCCGGUACAGAAGGAUGGUGCCCCGUAAGGUGCAUCGAACCUGAAAAACCGGUCCCAGUUCGGACUGGGGUCUGCAACCCGACCCCACGAAGCUGGAUUCGCUAGUAAUCGCGCAUCAGCCAUGACGCGGUGAAUACGUUCCCGGGCCUUGUACACACCGCCCGUCAAGCCAUGAAAGCCGGGAGUGCCUGAAGUCCGUGACCGCGAGGAUCGGCCUAGGGCAAAAUCGGUAAUUGGGGCUAAGUCGUAACAAGGUAGCCG